Molecule: unclassified non-coding RNA, 272 nt
Filed under: fungal sp.
Lineage: Eukaryota; Fungi
Description: partial internal transcribed spacer region
Rfam family: Eukaryotic small subunit ribosomal RNA (bases 1-46)
Source: RNAcentral
AAGUCGUAACAAGGUAACCGUAGGUGAACCUGCGGUUGGAUCAUUAACAAAAUGAUAAGAGUCGGGCCGUAAAACGUCCGGCUUUUAUAAACACCUGUGAACUGUAAUUGUAUUUGGUGGGUUAAAAUGAAGAGAGUUUUCUUUUCGGGUAGUUUAAAUUAUUUAAUUUAAAUUAUCACCCACCGUCAAAAAUUUGAACUUGUAUAAUCUUGAAUUAGUUUUUAAUUAUUAUUAAUCUAAAACAACUUUUGACAACGGAUCUCUAGGCUCUC